RNAcentral lists this ribosomal RNA (253 nucleotides) under uncultured bacterium. Its description in RNAcentral is "partial 16S ribosomal RNA". It matches the Rfam family "Bacterial small subunit ribosomal RNA", at positions 524 to 776 of the family's 1533-position model. The record is from RNAcentral.
UACGUAGGGUGCGAGCGUUAAUCGGAAUUACUGGGCGUAAAGCGUGCGCAGGCGGUUCGUUGUGUCGGUGGUGAAAUCCCCGGGCUUAACCUGGGAAUGGCCAUGGAAACUGGCGAACUGGAGUGUGGCAGAGGGGGGUGGAAUUCCGCGUGUAGCAGUGAAAUGCGUAGAGAUGCGGAGGAACACCGAUGGCGAAGGCAGCCCCCUGGGCUAGCACUGACGCUCAGGCACGAAAGCCUGGGGAGCGAACGGG